UACGUAGGGUGCGAGCGUUGUCCGGAAUUAUUGGGCGUAAAGAGCUCGUAGGCGGUUUGUUGCGUCGGCUGUGAAAUCCCGAGGCUCAACCUCGGGUCUGCAGUCGAUACGAGCAAACUAGAGUGUUGCAGGGGAGACUGGAAUUCCUGGUGUAGCGGUGAAAUGCGCAGAUAUCAGGAGGAACACCGGUGGCGAAGGCGGGUCUCUGGACAGUUCCUGACACUGAGGCACGAAGGCCAGGGGAGCAAACGGG
RNAcentral lists this ribosomal RNA (253 nucleotides) under uncultured bacterium. RNAcentral's name for it is "partial 16S ribosomal RNA". It matches the Rfam family "Bacterial small subunit ribosomal RNA", at positions 524 to 776 of the family's 1533-position model. The record is from RNAcentral.